GACGAACGCUGGCGGCGUGCCUAAUACAUGCAAGUAGAACGCACAGUUUAUACCGUAGCUUGCUACACCAUACACUGUGAGUUGCGAACGGGUGAGUAACGCGUAGGUUACCUGCCUGGUAGCGGGGGAUAACUAUUGGAAACGAUAGCUAAUACCGCAUAAUAUUAAUUAUUGCAUGAUAAUUGAUUGAAAUAUGCAAUUGCAUCACUACCAGAUGGACCUGCGUUGUAUUAGCUAGUAGGUGAGGUAACGGCUCACCUAGGCGAAGAUACAUAGCCGACCUGAGAGGGUGAACAGCCCCACUGGGAACGAGAAACGGCCCAGACUCCUAGGGGAGGCAGCAGUAGGGAAUCUUCGGCAAUGGACGAAAGUCUGACCGAGCAACGCCGCGUGAGUGAAGAAGGUUUUCGGAUCGUAAAGCUCUGUUGUAAGAGAAGAACGGGUGUGAGAGUGGAAAGUUCACACUGUGACGGUAUCUUACCAGAAAGCGACGGCUAACUACGUG
This 505-nucleotide ribosomal RNA is filed under the name uncultured bacterium. RNAcentral describes it as "partial 16S ribosomal RNA". It matches the Rfam family "Bacterial small subunit ribosomal RNA", at positions 28 to 507 of the family's 1533-position model. The record is from RNAcentral.